This 253-nucleotide ribosomal RNA is filed under the name uncultured bacterium. Its description in RNAcentral is "partial 16S ribosomal RNA". It matches the Rfam family "Bacterial small subunit ribosomal RNA", at positions 524 to 776 of the family's 1533-position model. The record is from RNAcentral.
UACGGGGGGGGCAAGCGUUGUUCGGAAUUACUGGGCGUAAAGGGCGCGUAGGCGGCCAACUAAGUCGGAUGUGAAAUCCCCAGGCUCAACUUGGGAACUGCAUCCGAUACUGGUCGGCUUGAAUCCGGGAGAGGGAUGUGGAAUUCCAGGUGUAGCGGUGAAAUGCGUAGAUAUCUGGAGGAACACCGGUGGCGAAGGCGACAUCCUGGACCACAACUGACGCUGAUGCACGAAAGCUAGGGGAGCAAACAGG